This 256-nucleotide ribosomal RNA is filed under the name uncultured bacterium. RNAcentral describes it as "partial 16S ribosomal RNA". It matches the Rfam family "Bacterial small subunit ribosomal RNA", at positions 524 to 776 of the family's 1533-position model. The record is from RNAcentral.
GACGUAGGGCGCGAGGCGUUGUCCGGAUUUAUUGGGCGUAAAGAGCUCGUAGGCGGCUUGUUGCGUCGACUGUGAAAACCUGCGGCUCAACCGUGUGGUCUGCAGUCGAUACUACUCAGCUAGAGUAUGGGAGAGGGCAGUGGAAUUCCCGGUGUAGCGGUGAAAUGCGUAGAAUAUCGGGAGGAACAUCAGUGGCGAAGGCGGCUGCCUGGCCCAAUACUGACACUCAGGUGCGACAGCGUGGGGAGCAAACAGG